RNAcentral lists this ribosomal RNA (253 nucleotides) under uncultured bacterium. RNAcentral describes it as "partial 16S ribosomal RNA". It matches the Rfam family "Bacterial small subunit ribosomal RNA", at positions 524 to 776 of the family's 1533-position model. The record is from RNAcentral.
UACGAGGGGUGCAAGCGUUAUUCGGAAUCAUUGGGCGUAAAGGGUGCGUAGACGGCCUGUUAAGUCUGUUGUUAAAUUCUCCGGCUCAACCGGGGGGCUGCAAUGGAAACUGGCGGACUAGAGGGUGAGAGAGAGAAGUGGAAUUCCCGGAGUAGCGGUAAAAUGCGUAGAUCUCGGGAGGAACACCGAUGGCGAAGGCAGCUUCUUGGCUCAUUCCUGACGUUGAUGCACGAAAGCGUGGGGAGCAAACAGG